UCUAAUUGUAAUUAUGGAUUUUCGUGCCUAACGUUUGACCGUCUAUUUUAUUUAAAAAAAAUAUAAAUUUUUUUUAAAAAAGUCAAACAUAAAGUACUAAUUUUUUAAAAAAUUCAAAUAAGACGGACGGUCAAACGUUGGACACAGAAACCCAUAACGGGGGGAGUACUUAGG
Molecule: microRNA precursor, 174 nt
Organism: Oryza sativa Indica Group (long-grained rice)
Lineage: Eukaryota; Viridiplantae; Streptophyta; Magnoliopsida; Poales; Poaceae
Rfam family: MIR812 microRNA precursor family
Source: Rfam